AGCCUCGGCAGUUGCCCUCCCCAGAGAGAAAUGGGCAGCUCAGUGGCACUCAGCCCUGGUGGUCUCCUGCCCCGUGGCAGCAAGCUGACAAGUGGAAGGAGGCAAUUGCCCGGUGCUGGGAUGCUGUGGAGCAAGGAGAAGACAAGUACAAAGCUUACUUGCUGGUGGGAUCACUACCUGAAGGCGACGGAUAUUCAGCUCUGAAGCUGGUUGAUGUCUGGCAAUGGACCUGGCGAGGCUGCAGCUGGUGGGUGGUUGUUGGAAGAGUUUGCAUUCAGGCUAGUGGAUGCCAUGAGGCUACGCUGGCUGAGAUGGAUGCAAAGUGGUUUGGAAGCCUUGUUUGUUAACAGGCAGCCAAACAGAGGAGGAGUCUGGGGGGACGCUGUUGGAUGGGGGCCAUCCCACUCACCUGUUUGCCUUUGCCUUACAGGGAUGUCCGGAGCCGGUGAGGUUUUCCCCAAGUCCAAAGUCAUGAAGAGACCCGCAGGACGUCCCUAUUUACAUCGGAGAAAUGAAUGCGAAAUACUGGCAGUGAGCAAUGGACAAGGCCAUGGCGGUACCUGAGAGAAGGAGCUUUGAAGGGAGACUGAAGACGGACAUCUGCUGCAUUGCAAGUGAUGGGGCAGUGCGGAGAGAGAAGAAAAUGAGGGAGGAAACAUUAGGCCACAUUAGGCACACCGUCCAUUGGAAGUACUAUGAAGACGCUUUGAACCGGAAUGGCUUCCCCUCAGGGAUUCUGGGAACUGUAGGUGGUUAAGGGGACAGAGAGUUGUUAGGCGGGUUAGGCUUAGGGUUAGGCUUAGGCUUAGGCUUAGGCUUGGGGUAGGGGUAGGGGUAGGGGUAGGGGUAGGGGUAGGGGUAGGGGUAAGGGUAAGGGUAAGGGUAAGGAUAGGGGUAGGGGUAGGGGUAGGGGUAGGGGUAAGGGUAGGGUUAGGGUUCCCUUCUUGUCAGGGAACUCUGGGAAUUGUAGCUCUAGUUAAGAGUUAUGGGGUAGGGGUAGGGUUCCCUUCUUGUCAGGGAACUUUGGGAAAUGUAGCUCUGGUUAAGGGUUAAUGUGUAGGAUUAGGGUUCCCUUCUUUUCAGGGAACUCUGGGAAUUGUAGCUCUGGUUAGGGAGAAGGAUUGGGGUUCCCUUCUUGCCAGGGAACUCUGGGAAUUGUAGCUCUAGUUAAUGGUUAAGGGUUAGCAUUAGGGUUAGAGUUAGGCUUAGCAUCAGGGGUAGGGGUAUUGGUAGAGUUCCCUUUUGCCAGGGAACUCUGGGAAUUGUAGCUCUUGGAGGGGAACAGGGGGUCUCCUAACAACUCUCUGCACCCUUUUCAAACUAUAGCUCCCAGAUUCUUUGGGGGAAGAAGCCAUGAGUGUUUAAAGCGGCUUCAUAGCACAUGAAAUGGUGUGGAUGUGGCCCUGGCCUCCCUCACCCCACUGCCCCUUAUUAUUGAGGAAUCGAAAAGAUUUCCCCAUGCAAAUCUCUCGGAAACAAUGUAUUUCAUCUGGAAAACUAUUUAAUAAAG
This is a non-coding RNA of Podarcis lilfordi (Lilford's wall lizard), 1510 nucleotides long. NCBI's taxonomy places the organism in Eukaryota, Metazoa, Chordata, Lepidosauria, Squamata, Lacertidae. The record is from the annotation of a GenBank genome assembly.